CCUACGGGAGGCAGCAGUGGGGAAUAUUGCACAAUGGGGGAAACCCUGAUGCAGCGACGCCGCGUGAGUGAAGAAGCGUUUCGGCACGUAAAGCCCUAUCAGCAGGGAAGAAAAUGACGGUACCCGACCCAGAAACCCCCGCUAAACAACUGCCAGCAGGCGCCGUAACAAGGUGGGGGCAGGCGUUAUCCGGAAUUACUGGGUGUAAAGGGGGCGUAGACGGGCGCGUUAGUCUGGAGUGAAAUCCCAUGGUUUAAACGAGGAACUGCUUUGGAAACCGGGUUGCUGGAGUGCGGGAGAGGUAAGCGGAAUUCCUGGUGUAGCGGUGAAAUGCGUAGAUAUUAGGAGGAACACCGGUGGCGAAGGCGGCUUACUGGACCAUAACUGACGUUGAGGCUCGAAAGCGUGGGGAGCGAACAGGAUUAGAUACCCUAGUAGUC
Molecule: ribosomal RNA, 440 nt
Filed under: uncultured bacterium
Lineage: Bacteria
Description: partial 16S ribosomal RNA
Rfam family: Bacterial small subunit ribosomal RNA
Source: RNAcentral